AUUUUUGCAUUUGUAAAACUAUGUAGAUUCGGCCUACUAAGUUGGCUAUUUGAAAUCCAUUAGUGUUUAGCUCUUCAAUUCCCCUGGAGCCUUCGUUGAAACUAAUCUUUUUUUUUUCCAAAGUGAGCUUAAAUUUCUGGUAGCAUGUGAUUGUGCUUUGAAGCUAUCUUAUACAGAUGAUGAUCAUUGGAUUACAAGCAUUCAGAAGUUAAAGUGCUUGUAUAAGAAGGUAGGAUAUAAAUGAACUUGGAUUUGAUGCCAUCACCGUUAGUCAAUCUUAUUUUUUUGUCCAUUGCAUUGCCAACUUCAAAAAUAAAUUAAUUUUGUCAGUAUGUAG
This 337-nucleotide unclassified non-coding RNA is filed under the name Hevea brasiliensis (rubber tree). The record is from RNAcentral. Lineage: Eukaryota; Viridiplantae; Streptophyta; Magnoliopsida; Malpighiales; Euphorbiaceae.